Molecule: non-coding RNA, 1175 nt
Organism: Coturnix japonica (Japanese quail)
Lineage: Eukaryota; Metazoa; Chordata; Aves; Galliformes; Phasianidae
Source: RefSeq, a predicted model, not a curated record
ACCGCCCCCUGAGGGCACGGCGGCACCGGGCGGCACCGCGCUGCCCCGCACGGCUCCGAGGGCCGAGUCGGUCGUGAUUCAGCGCUUCUGUUUUUUAACCGGCCCGUGCCCGGGUCGGUGCCGCGGGGAUGCUGGGCGUUCUUAGGAGGCGUUUUAUCCCAUAAAGAUGCUGGCACUGCUGGGUACUGCGUGAGGAAGCGCUGCCACAGGUGAUGGAGCUGACAAAGAGCUUUAUUCAUGAAUGCACGGGAUUGAUUAUUAGAAGGGCACAAGCUCCUGCUCUAUUCUCUCCACCUGAAGUCAGUGUGCUCCGUGUGAGACAAUUUCCACAACAAAUUCUGCUUCUUCCUAUCAGGGGUUAAAGAGCUUCAAAACAAACCCUCUUUGGAGCAGGAUUUCAGGCUGACAUCCCCAGUCAUCCUACAGCGAGCACACUCUGCUACAGACCUGCUCCCCACUAAAUGCCCCGCUCUUCCCAAAUGGGAAGCCCUGGCUUUGCCGUGCUGUGAAAUCUGUAAUAUUCUUGCAUGACCGCUGUUUUAAGUUAGACUGCAUUCCUGUCUUUCAGUUGUCAGGAGAGCGUGGAAAGAAGAUAUUUAUCGCAUUAGCCCUGCAUGAUCAAGGAGAAGGCUGGCUGUUUGGGGAUGCUUUAUUAAUGAAUGCUAGAGGACAUCCACCCCUCCUAAGGUUUUUCAGAGACCAGCACAAAAAACCUUCUAAAGCCUCUUCCCGGUCUGUUACGACUUGCUCUUAUGUUUCUGCACUUGAGAACCUCCUUGGCAUGUUUUAAGGCUCCACAGCACCGAAAAGAGUAGGAACCCCAACCAACCCCAGCAAAGUGAACCGGUGAGUAACUGUGAACAUCUGCAAGGCCCUCACAUCUCUCCCAGACGUCAUGAUAAAGAAGAAAACAUCUGUGGGACCAGAGCAUUAAUUCCAUUUUCCACUUCCUUUAGUGUAGAUGGGGAUAUAAAAUGCUGGGCUCUGUGCUGAAGGGCAGAGGUCCCCAAUCCAGCCCCUGCGUGCAGCAGGACAUGCUCUGGAGGAGCUUUUUGCUCAGGGAAUUUCAAACAGAGCACCAAACCUUCACUUUUUGCCUCUCCAUACACCCACAGGUGUGUUCCUCCUUGUGGGACAUAGAGGCAGCGUCUCACUUGAAACUGAUAGAAGUCAAC